AAUUCAUGGUGGGGGCAUCGCCGAGCAUGUCCUUGAACCUUUCCCAUGCUUCAUAUAGUGACUCUAUCUCCACCUACACAAACAUAGUAAUAUCAUUACGUAAUU
This is a small nucleolar RNA of Pistacia vera, 105 nucleotides long. Lineage: Eukaryota; Viridiplantae; Streptophyta; Magnoliopsida; Sapindales; Anacardiaceae. The record is from RefSeq and is a predicted model, not a curated record.